RNAcentral lists this ribosomal RNA (575 nucleotides) under Paraburkholderia sp. Its description in RNAcentral is "bacterial SSU rRNA". It matches the Rfam family "Bacterial small subunit ribosomal RNA", at positions 193 to 749 of the family's 1533-position model. Lineage: Bacteria; Pseudomonadati; Pseudomonadota; Betaproteobacteria; Burkholderiales; Burkholderiaceae. The record is from RNAcentral.
UCUACGGAGGAAAGGGGGGGAUCGCAAGACCUCCCGCUACAGGGGCGGCCGAUGGCAGAUUAGCUAGUUGGUGGGGUAAAGGCCUACCAAGGCGACGAUCUGUAGCUGGUCUGAGAGGACGACCAGCCACACUGGGACUGAGACACGGCCCAGACUCCUACGGGAGGCAGCAGUGGGGAAUUUUGGACAAUGGGGGAAACCCUGAUCCAGCAAUGCCGCGUGUGUGAAGAAGGCCUUCGGGUUGUAAAGCACUUUUGUCCGGAAAGAAAUCCUUUGAGUUAAUACCCUGUGGGGAUGACGGUACCGGAAGAAUAAGCACCGGCUAACUACGUGCCAGCAGCCGCGGUAAUACGUAGGGUGCAAGCGUUAAUCGGAAUUACUGGGCGUAAAGCGUGCGCAGGCGGUCCGCUAAGACAGAUGUGAAAUCCCCGGGCUUAACCUGGGAACUGCAUUUGUGACUGGCGGGCUAGAGUAUGGCAGAGGGGGGUAGAAUUCCACGUGUAGCAGUGAAAUGCGUAGAGAUGUGGAGGAAUACCGAUGGCGAAGGCAGCCCCCUGGGCCAAUACUGACGCUCA